GACGAACGCUGGCGGCGUGCCUAACACAUGCAAGUCGAGCGGGGUCCAUCCAGUGGCAACACUGGGGAAGACCUAGCGGCGAACGGGUGAGUAACACGUGAGGAACUUGCCCCGGAGUACGGGAUAACUCGAGGAAACUCGAGCUAAUACCGUAUGCCCUCUUCUGGUCGCAUGGCCGGAUGAGGAAAGAUUCAUCGCUCCGGGAGAGCCUCGCGGCCUAUCAGCUAGUUGGUGGGGUAACGGCCCACCAAGGCAUCGACGGGUAGCUGGUCUGAGAGGACGAUCAGCCACACUGGGACUGAGACACGGCCCAGACUCCUACGGGAGGCAGCAGUGGGGAAUCUUGCGCAAUGGGCGAAAGCCUGACGCAGCAACGCCGCGUGCGGGAUGAAGGCCUUCGGGUUGUAACCGGACUUUCAGCAGGGAAGAAACU
This 433-nucleotide ribosomal RNA is filed under the name uncultured bacterium. Its description in RNAcentral is "bacterial SSU rRNA". It matches the Rfam family "Bacterial small subunit ribosomal RNA", at positions 28 to 452 of the family's 1533-position model. The record is from RNAcentral.